Long non-coding RNA from Osmerus eperlanus (European smelt), 523 nucleotides. RefSeq lists it as uncharacterized. The record is from RefSeq and is a predicted model, not a curated record. NCBI's taxonomy places the organism in Eukaryota, Metazoa, Chordata, Actinopteri, Osmeriformes, Osmeridae. The transcript is spliced from 3 exons.
AGUUUCAAUGUUGGCUUUAUUUGACAUAAUAUAUGUUUAAUUUCAAGUAAUUUUUUCUGUAACCGAUUUAUUGUCUCCCUGAUGUCCUCAAAGUGCACGCUCACAAUCACACGGACAUAGUUUCAGCAGAAAACCUUUCACACUACAUAAAGAGAUAUUUCCAGAUAACGUUUUUGAGCAGAUGUUUUGUAUCGGCUGUGUUGUGUGUGGGCCUACAUAACUCCUCAAACUGAUGACACACGGAGACCGUCAGAGCCAGGUCAAAGGUCCUAAGUUCAAAGGUGCUUCCGGAACGUACCACGGCUGGCGAGGGCACGUGUAUGCUGGCCACGGAGCGAGGGCGGAUGUGAUUGGCCAGAUGGCAGAGGACUACUCCGUCCAUGAGGGAGGAGCCUAAGUCUUCAGGAAGAGACACCUUCAGCCGGCUCUCUAUGCUCUGAGGAGGGAGAGCGAGGGAACACUGCCCCCGCAGGCCGGAGGACGGAAUGACAACCACAAGAACACAAACUCAUUAGAUGUGGAU